UACGGAGGGAGCUAGCGUUGUUCGGAAUUACUGGGCGUAAAGCGCACGUAGGCGGCUUUGUAAGUCAGAGGUGAAAGCCAGGGGCUCAACUCCAGAACUGCCUUUGAGACUGCAUCGCUCGAAUCCGGGAGAGGUGAGUGGAAUUCCGAGUGUAGAGGUGAAAUUCGUAGAUAUUCGGAAGAACACCAGUGGCGAAGGCGGCUCACUGGACCGGUAUUGACGCUGAGGUGCGAAAGCGUGGGGAGCAAACAGG
RNAcentral lists this ribosomal RNA (253 nucleotides) under uncultured bacterium. RNAcentral describes it as "partial 16S ribosomal RNA". It matches the Rfam family "Bacterial small subunit ribosomal RNA", at positions 524 to 776 of the family's 1533-position model. The record is from RNAcentral.